UCGAGUGGAUAGAAACAGCACACGUAAGAUCGGGUGUGCACGAGGAGAUGCGAACACCGGGAACAGUCGAGUGGGUAGAAACAGCACACGUAAGAUCGGGUGUGCACGAGGAGAUGUGAACACCGGGAACAGUCGAGUGGGUAGAAACAGCACACGUAAGGUCGGGUGUGCACGAGGAGAUGUGAACACUGGGAACAGUCGCGUGGGUAGAAACAGCACACGUAAGAUCGGGUGUGCACGAGGAGAUGUGAACACCGGGAACAGUCG
This 267-nucleotide long non-coding RNA is filed under the name Homo sapiens (human). Its description in RNAcentral is "non-protein coding lnc-COL6A1-6:1". Lineage: Eukaryota; Metazoa; Chordata; Mammalia; Primates; Hominidae. The record is from RNAcentral.